GUGGGGAAUAUUGCACAAUGGGCGCAAGCCUGAUGGAGCAACGCCGCGUGAGUGAAGAAGGUCUUCGGAUCGUAAAACUCUGUUGUUAGAGAAGAACACGAGUGAGAGUAACUGUUCAUUCGAUGACGGUAUCUAACCAGCAAGUCACGGCUAACUACUUGCAAG
This 165-nucleotide ribosomal RNA is filed under the name uncultured bacterium. RNAcentral describes it as "partial 16S rRNA". It matches the Rfam family "Bacterial small subunit ribosomal RNA", at positions 354 to 511 of the family's 1533-position model. The record is from RNAcentral.